This 331-nucleotide ribosomal RNA is filed under the name uncultured eukaryote. RNAcentral describes it as "partial 18S ribosomal RNA". It matches the Rfam family "Eukaryotic small subunit ribosomal RNA", at positions 1470 to 1796 of the family's 1831-position model. The record is from RNAcentral.
CCCUUAGAUGUUCUGGGCCGCACGCGCGCUACACUGACGAAGUCAGCGAGCAUGUCCUACGCCGACAGGUGCGGGGAAUCUUGUCAAAUUUCGUCGUGAUGGGGAUUGAUUAUUGAAAUUCUUGAUCAUCAACGAGGAAUUCCUAGUAAGCGCAAGUCAGCAGCUUGCGUUGAUUACGUCCCUGCCCUUUGUACACACCGCCCGUCGCUACUACCGAUUGAAUGGUUUAGUGAGAUCUUCGGAUUGGCGCCACUGCGGCUCAGCAAUGGGCUCGGUGGAUGCCGAAAAGUUGAUCAAACUUGAUCAUUUAGAGGAAGUAAAAGUCGUAACA